Molecule: ribosomal RNA, 497 nt
Filed under: uncultured bacterium
Lineage: Bacteria
Description: partial 16S ribosomal RNA
Rfam family: Bacterial small subunit ribosomal RNA
Source: RNAcentral
GAUGAACGCUGGCGGCGUGCCUAAUACAUGCGAGUCGAGCGAACAGACGAGGAGCUUGCUCCUCUGACGUUAGCGGCGGACGGGUGAGUAACACGUGGAUAACCUACCUAUAAGACUGGGAUAACUUCGGGAAACCGGAGCUAAUACCGGAUAAUAUAUUGAACCGCAUGGUUCAAUAGUGAAAGACGGUUUUGCUGUCACUUAUAGAUGGAUCCACGCCGCAUUAGCUAGUUGGUAAGGUAACGGCUUACCAAGGCAACGAUGCGUAGCCGACCUGAGAGGGUGAUCGGCCACACUGGAACUGAGACACGGUCCAGACUCCUACGGGAGGCAGCAGUAGGGAAUCUUCCGCAAUGGGCGAAAGCCUGACGGAGCAACGCCGCGUGAGUGAUGAAGGUCUUCGGAUCGUAAAACUCUGUUAUUAGGGAAGAACAAAUGUGUAAGUAACUAUGCACGUCUUGACGGUACCUAAUCAGAAAGCCACGGCUAACUACGUG